UUUCCGUAGGUGAACCUGCGGAAGGAUCAUUACCGAGCGAGGGCCCUCUGGGUCCAACCUCCCACCCGUGUCUCUUGUACCUCGUUGCUUCGGCGGGUUAACGCCCCGGAAGGCCCAAAAAGCCGCCGGAACCAGGCGCCCGCCGGGGGACCCAAACUCUUGUAUUUCUUACUUUGCAUGUCUGAGUGGAAUCAUAAACAAAUGAAUCAAAACUUUCAACAACGGAUCUCUAGGUUCUG
RNAcentral lists this unclassified non-coding RNA (239 nucleotides) under plant metagenome. RNAcentral's name for it is "partial contains small subunit ribosomal RNA, internal transcribed spacer 1, and 5.8S ribosomal RNA". The record is from RNAcentral.